Molecule: ribosomal RNA, 622 nt
Filed under: Tethya samaaii
Lineage: Eukaryota; Metazoa; Porifera; Demospongiae; Tethyida; Tethyidae
Description: partial 28S ribosomal RNA
Rfam family: Eukaryotic large subunit ribosomal RNA
Source: RNAcentral
CCAAGGAGUGCAACAUGCGUGCGAGUCUUGGGGUGGUAAACCCAUUGGCACAAUGAAGGUGAAGGCAGAUUUUGGUCUGCUCAGGCAGGAGCCUUCCCGCAGGGGGGCGCACUGUCGACCGAUCCCAGGCUACGCUGUGGCGGGAUUUGAGUAAGAGCGUGCCUGUUGCGACCCGAAAGAUGGUGAACUAUGCCUGAAUAGGGUGAAGCCAGAGGAAACUCUGGUGGAAGCUCGUAGCGAUUCUGACGUGCAAAUCGAUCGUCAAAUUUGGGUAUAGGGGCGAAAGACUAAUCGAACCAUCUAGUAGCUGGUUCCCUCCGAAGUUUCCCUUAGGAUAGCUGGAGCCCGGUGCAGUUUUAUCAGGUAAAGCGAAUGAUUAGAGGUCUUGGGGUUGAAACAACCUCAACCUAUUCUCAAACUUUAAAUGGGUAAGAAGCUUGGCUUGCUCGACUGAAGUCAGGCAUCGAAUGCCGGGGCUCUUAGUGGGCCAUUUUUGGUAAGCAGAACUGGCGAUGUGGGAUGAACCAAAUGCCGGGUUAAGGUGCCCGAAUCGACGCUCAUCAGAUACCAUGAAAGGUGUUGGUUGAUCUAGACAGCAGGACGGUGGCCAUGGAAGUCGGAA